UAAAAGGCCGCGGUAUUAUGACCGUGCAAAGGUAGCAUAAUCAUUAGUUUUUUAAUUGGGGGCUAGAAUGAAUGGUCGGACAAGAGAUAAUCUGUCUCAACUAAAUUUAUUGAAUUUAACUUUUAAGUGAAAAGGCUUAAAUGAUCUGAAGGGACGAUAAGACCCUAUAAAACUUUUAUAUCUAGAAGUAGUAGUUAAUUUUAUUUAAGUGUACUAUUUUAAGAUAUUUGGUUGGGGUGACCAGGAUAAAAUAUAAAAUAACUGUCUUUUUUUUCUACAAUGAUUUUUGGGCUUAUGAUCCUAAAAAGGAUUAAAGAUUAAGUUACUUUAGGGAUAACAGCGUAAUUUUCUUUGAGAGUCCUUAUCGACAAGAGAGUUUGCGACCUCGAUGUUGAAUUAAAAGUUCUUUAUAGAGCAGAGACUAUAGUAGAAGGUCUGUUCG
RNAcentral lists this ribosomal RNA (442 nucleotides) under Procambarus bouvieri. Its description in RNAcentral is "partial 16S ribosomal RNA". It matches the Rfam family "Archaeal large subunit ribosomal RNA", at positions 2001 to 2652 of the family's 2987-position model. The record is from RNAcentral. Lineage: Eukaryota; Metazoa; Arthropoda; Malacostraca; Decapoda; Cambaridae.